Molecule: ribosomal RNA, 279 nt
Filed under: uncultured bacterium
Lineage: Bacteria
Description: partial 16S ribosomal RNA
Rfam family: Bacterial small subunit ribosomal RNA
Source: RNAcentral
UGCCAGCCGCCGCGGUAAUACGGAGGGUGCAAGCGUUAAUCGGAAUUACUGGGCGUAAAGCGCACGCAGGCGGUUUGUUAAGUCAGAUGUGAAAGCCCCGGGCUCAACCUGGGAACUGCAUUUGAUACUGGCAAACUAGAGUAUGGGAGAGAGAAGUAGAAUUCCACAUGUAGCGGUGAAAUGCGUAGAGAUGUGGAGGAAUAUCAGUGGCGAAGGCGGCUCCCUGGCCAAAGACUGACGCUCAUGUACGAAAGCGUGGGUAGCAAACAGGAUUAGAUA